UCCUUUCUGUUCAAAUCCUCCUUUGAACCAGGACUUGGGAAAGGAUGGGGCAGCCUGACCCUUUCUUCCCUCCGUUUCCUUGUUUUAGGGGCCCUUUUACAGAGCAUCCCAGUGACCAAGAUAGAAGAGAUGACCCUGCAUCUUCUUCUGACCGGGCUGGAGGUGUUGCGGGAGAGGGCUGGCCGCCAUCACGGGGGCUCUGGAAGCCACGAUCUCCCCACGGUUAUGGCUGUCAUCCCAGCAGUGGGGGAGUGCAGAGCCCCAGCCCUUUUAGCAUCCUUUUCCAGCCUCCUCUGAUGCUCCAUGACAGCCUCUGCAGACUCCUCCCUGGAGCCUUCCCUGGAUUCCCUCAACACCAUCGAGUGGUUUAUGCGCAGGAGAGGCAGGAGAGACCAGGUUCAGCUGGGUUUUCAACACCAACUCUACUUCCUCUGCUGCCCAACCACCGCCUGCAUGGAGGAGGAACCACAUGGAGGAGGAACUGCAACUUGAUGGGCCCUUUUCGAAGGCAGAGAUGCUUUCUGCACUUGUGA
Pogona vitticeps (central bearded dragon) is the source of this 533-nucleotide long non-coding RNA. NCBI's taxonomy places the organism in Eukaryota, Metazoa, Chordata, Lepidosauria, Squamata, Agamidae. The record is from Ensembl.